CGACGGGAACUCCUGAAGUCUAUUUUUUAAAUCAGAUUGUUUUGUUUCUUAUGGUUGAGUUUUUCAUUGAAAUAUAGUUCAUGUACAAUAUUAUGUAAGUUACAAUAUAAUGAUUUACAAUUUUUAAAAUUUAUACUCCAUUUAUAGUUAUCAUAAAAUAUUGGCUAUAUUCUUGGUGUUGUAUAUCCUUGUAGCUUAUUUUUUAUGUAAUAGCAUAAUAGUUUGUUCCUCUUAAUAGUUUGUUCCCCUAUCUGAUCUUGGCCCUCCUCCACUUUCUCCUCCAGAGUGGUAACCACUAGUUCUCUAUAUCUGAGUCUGUUUGUUAUAUUUUUAGAUCCCACAUAUAGUGGUAUCAUACCAUAUUUUUCUUUCCUUUGUCUGACUAAUUUCACGUAGGAUAUUACCAUCCCAUUCCAUCCAUUACAAAUGGAAAUUUUUUGUUUUACUUUUUUAUGGUUGAGUAGUAGAUGAUUGUAUAUGUAUGCUACAUCUUCUUUAUCCAUUCAUCUAUUGAUGGAUACUUAGGUUAUGCUUCCAUAUUUGGCUAUUGUAAAUUACGUUUCUGUUAACAUUGAGGUGUAUGAUUCUUUUCUAAUUAGUGGUUUGCAUUUUUUUUCAUUUUUUUAUAAUUUAUUUUUUUUCAUACUGUACAGCAAGGGGGUCAGGUUAUCCUUACAUGUAUACAUUUUUCCCCCACCCUUUGUUCUGUUGCAACAUGAGUAUCUAGACGUAGUUCUCAAUGCUAUUCAGCAGGAUCUCCUUGAAAAUCUGUUCUAAGUUGUAUCUGAUAACCCCAAGCUCCUGAUCCCUCCCACUCCCUCCCUCUCCCAUCAGGCAGCCACAAGUGUCUUCUCCAAGUCCAUGAUUUUCUUUUCUGUGGAGAUGUUCAUUUGUGCUGGAUGUUAGAUUCCAGCUAUAAGUGAUAUCAUAUGGUAUUUGUCUUUGUCUUUCUGACUCAUUUCACUCAGUAUGAGAGUCUCUAGUUCCAUCCAUGUUGCUGCAAAUGGCAUUAUGUCAUUCUUUUUUUAUGGCUGAGUAGUAUUCCAUUGUGUAUAUAUACCACAUCUUCCGAAUCCAAUCAUCUGUGGGUGGUCAUUUGGGUUGUUUCCAUGUCCUGGCUAUUGUGAAUAGUGCUGCAAUGAACAUGCGGGUGCAUGUGUCUCUUUAAGCAGAUUUUGUCCGGAUAUAUGCCCAAGAGUGGGAUUGCAGGGUCAUAUGGAAGUUCUAUGUAUAGAUUUCUAAGGUAUAAAUAUACACAGUAAUGGAAUUGCUGGAUUAUGUGGUAGUCCUAUUUUUCAUUUUUUGAGAAACUUCCAUAUUGUUUUCUAUAGGGACUGUACCAAUUUACAUUGCCACCAACAGUGUAUGAGAAUUCUCUUUUCUCCUCACCAACAUUUGUUAUUUGUAUUCUUUUGGAAGAUAACCAUUCUGACCAGUGUGAAGUGAUACCUCAUUCCAAUUUUUAUUUCCAUUUCCGUGAUGAUUAGUGAAAUUGAACAACUUUUCAUGUGCCUCUUGCUAUCUGCAUGUCCUUUUUUUUUUUUUUUUUUUUUUUGUCGUUUUGUCCUUUGUUUUUAGGCCCACACCCAUGGCACAUGGAGGUUCCCAGGCUAGGGGUCUAAUCGGAGCUGUAGCUGCUGACCUACGCCAGAGCCACAGCAAACCAGAUCCAAGCCACAUCUGUGACCUACACCACAGCUCACAAGCAAAUGCCGGAUCCUUAACCCACUGAGCGAGGCCAGGGAUCAAACUCACAACUUCACGGUUCCUAGUUGGAUUUGUUUCUGCUGCGCCAGGAUGGGAACUCUUGCAUGUCCUCUUAUACAAUAAGCUAAUACAACUCAAUAUCAAAAAAAUCCCCAAACGACCUGAUUAAAAAAUGGGCCAAAGACCUGAGUAGACAUUUUUACUAUUGAGCUUUAAGAGCUCCUCGUAAAUUUUGGGUAACAGUCCUUUGUCAGAUUUUUCUUUGCAUAUAUUUUUCUCCCAGUCUAUGGCUUGUCUCCUCAUUCUCCUGAAGCAGUAUACAUUUUAAUAAUAAAAUAUUUAUUUUAUGAUUUAGGAUUCACACAAUUGUAGGUGAAUUGGGGGAAGUUAAGGUCCAGAAGGAGUUAUUGGAGGAUCAGAAGAGAAGUCACCAACUAACCAAUCUGAGAAGACAAGCAAGUCUGACUGAUGAAGUGGAAUCAUGAAUGGAGAGUUCCUGGGUAGUUUGUGGCAAAUUAUUUCUGCUCUGUAGCUUCUACUUCUGUAGCUCUAUAGGUAAAUGAGUGGAAUUUUGCAGGGAAAAUAUCAAAGGUCAGAGUAGUGACAGCAUUUGAGCAUUCGAGAAGAAUUUGGAUACAGUGUGGAAAAGAGCAUGCCACCAUGUCUGACUCCAUGAGGAGAGAAGGUGAGCUCAAGUGUUGGGCAAUAUUUAACUUGUUAUGAAAAAAAAUCAUGUGAAUUCCUCUGUUGGUUAAGGGACACAUACAAGGAAAGGAAUUCUGUGAUACACAGUUACUGCAUUAAACAAACUGACACAGCAUUAACCAAUACAGACUCUUAGUAUUUCCAUACAAGCAUUAGGAUUCAUUACAGGCAUGUAUUUGAGACAUUGUGGGUCAGUUCCAGCGCACUGCAGGAAAGCAAAUAUCUCAGUAAGUGGAGUCGCACAAUUUUAUUUCCUAGUGUAUAGAAAAGUUAUGUUUAUACUUUAGUUUUUAAGUGUGCAAUAGCAUUAUGCCUAAAAACAAUGUACAUACCUUAAUUAAAAAUAUAUUAUUGCUAAAAAAAAAUACUAACCAUCAUCUGAGUCUUCAGGAAGUCCUAACCUUUUGUAGUGACCAUGGAUCACAGAUUACCAUAACAAAUAUCAUACUAAGUGAAUUUGAAAUAUUGUGAGAAUUGCCAAAAUGUGACAUGGGUGACACAAAGUGAGCAAGUGCUGUUGGAAAAAUGGUGCACAUUGACUUGCUUGAUGCAGGUUUGCCACAAACCUUCAAUUUGUGAAAAAAAAUCUGUGAAGUGCAAUAAGAUGAAUUAUGCCUGCAUAUAACACUGUAUGAAUUAAAAAAAAUUCUUAAGCAUCCAAAAAAAUCAUGCUCAAAGGAUAGAAGUAAAAGUCAUCAUCAUAAUCAUCAAAAAUAACAUUGCAAAGUUUCCUCUAGGAAAUAGAAGAAAAGUUAAGCCUACAGAAGCUAAGAAACUUCAAAAAAGUUAUUAAAUAAAGCAAAACCCCUAUAAAUCAUAUAUGGUGAGGCUUUACAAUGAAAAAAUAUGAAAAUUGAAAAGAACUACCUAAAUUAAAAGUGUAAGACAUGACAUUACAAAAAGUUUAAAAUUAAUAAGAACAGAAAGCAGAACUUUUUAAAAAAGAAAUUAGUACCAUGAAAGAUAGAUCUAAGAAAAGCUUCAUCCCAUAGAAAGAUAAAAUGUAAAAAGAUAAAGAACAGGAGAAAGAUGGCAGUAAUGACAAAUAAUGGAAGAAGUUCCAAAUUAUAUAUUAUAUGGAAAAUACAGGAGAAAUCCAACUAAAGGUAUAUUUUUCCACCAGUUUAAUUUACAAGUUGAUGAAAACUCACACAUUUAUAAUGUGGUACAGGUCCUUUGAUAGAUGAAAAGGGACUUUUAAAAUUUUCAAAAUCACAUGAAGUACCCAAUUGCAUUACAUGAUAAUAAUUAGACAUGAAAAAUGAAUUAAAUGAGAAUAAAAUACUUAUCUUAAGAAAUACUGUUAAAAAUAUCUAACAAUCAACCUGGAAAUUAUAAGGAAAAUCUACAACUAAAUGAAAGUACUGUAGCUUUAUUUGACUGAAGUGAAAUAGCCUCUGAGGUUGUCUAUUUUGAAUAUUUAAAAUUUUUCUAAAUAUUCUCACCCCAAAUAUGGGUUAAUUAAUAAUGUGCAUUUAUUUGUUCAUUCAAAUGAGAUUUUUAAAAAAUUAUCCAUAUGGAUUAGACAUUAUUUUUAAUACUAGGUCUAUGAUACAAUAUUAGCUGGAGAGAAGGAUUAUGAAGAAAAAUAAAUCAGUUUAAGGAUUUAGACACAGAUUGUGAGUCACUAGCCAUGUUUUCAUUUCAGAGUUGUUACAUUAAUAAACAUGUUUAUUAUUUGAACUUAGAAUGGAACAAUAUUUGAAUUCAAUGUGAAACAGGUCUAUUCUAAACUAGAUAAGAAAACCAAUGCAGCCUGAGCUUGAGGAUAUGAUACUAGAAUCUUACAAAACUGAAAAUCAAAGGGGAAAAAAAUUAAAGAAUGGAACAGAAUAUCUAAGAACUGGGGUGAAUACAAAAGGUAUAAUUUACACAUAAUGGGAAUACCAGAAGGAAAAGAGAAAAGAACAGAAUCAGUUUUGGAAGGAACAAUGAUUGCAAGUAUGUCCAAGUUAACAUCAGUUCCAGGAAGCUGAGAAUACAGGAUGUUGAUAAGACAUAUGCCCAAACAACAACAAAAAUUCACCUGAGCCUAUCAUUUUCAAAUUCAGCAAAUCAAAGUAAAGAAAAAGAAUCCUGAAAGAAGUCAGAGGGCAAAUACUCCUUACCUAUACAGGAGCAAAGAUAAGAAUUACGUCUUGUUUUUUUCCUACAAAAAUUAUGACAGCAAGAAGGGUAGAGAGAAGUAUUUAAUGUGUUGAGAGAAAAACCCCCACCAAACUAUGAUUCUGUGCCUUGAGAAAUUAUCCUUCAGUAGUGAAGGAGAAAUAAGACCAAAUGAGUUGUCUUUUUUUUUUUUUUCCCCAGUAGACUUGCCUUGAAGGAAAUUUUAAAAGAAAAUUUUUGGAGAGGAGGGAAAAAACAUCUAUCAGAAUCUUAGAUCUACAUAAAGAAAGGAAGAUCUUAGGGGAAGGAAUCAAUUAAGGGUUUCAGAUCCAGCUCAGACAUAGAGUCAUCCAGCAGAGGACACUGUUCCUGAUGACCAGGUACUGACAAGGGUGAGAGGCAUCCCAAGGUGAAUUUCAGUUUGAUAUCUUAGUAUCUGCUAGAUUGUCAAAGUCAAGUUAAUACCAGGACACAUUUCAGCAUGGUUCCCUGACCCCCUUGGUUCAUCCUCUUAUGGAAAAUAAACCUAAAUUUCAUGUGAUUAAUACUUGUAUACCCUGAUUUAGGUUUGCUUUUGGAAAGGUAUGACCUGACACAGGAUCCUGGUACAUAUAUCUUAAGGUGAGGUUUU
This 5149-nucleotide long non-coding RNA is filed under the name Sus scrofa (pig). RNAcentral's name for it is "lncRNA (ENSSSCG00000059932.1)". Lineage: Eukaryota; Metazoa; Chordata; Mammalia; Artiodactyla; Suidae. The record is from RNAcentral.